RNAcentral lists this ribosomal RNA (559 nucleotides) under uncultured Virgibacillus sp. RNAcentral's name for it is "bacterial SSU rRNA". It matches the Rfam family "Bacterial small subunit ribosomal RNA", at positions 337 to 886 of the family's 1533-position model. Lineage: Bacteria; Bacillati; Bacillota; Bacilli; Caryophanales; Bacillaceae. The record is from RNAcentral.
UCCUACGGGAGGCAGCAGUAGGGAAUCUUCCGCAAUGGACGAAAGUCUGACGGAGCAACGCCGCGUGAGUGAUGAAGGUUUUCGGAUCGUAAAACUCUGUUGUUAGGGAAGAACAAGUAUCGUUCGAAUAGGGCGGUACCAUGACGGUACCUAACCAGAAAGCCCCGGCUAACUACGUGCCAGCAGCCGCGGUAAUACGUAGGGGGCAAGCGUUGUCCGGAAUUAUUGGGCGUAAAGCGCUCGCAGGCGGUUUUUUAAGUCUGAUGUGAAAGCCCACGGCUCAACCGUGGAGGGUCAUUGGAAACUGGGGAACUUGAGUACAGAAGAGGAGAGUGGAAUUCCACGUGUAGCGGUGAAAUGCGUAGAGAUGUGGAGGAACACCAGUGGCGAAGGCGACUCUCUGGUCUGUAACUGACGCUGAGGAGCGAAAGCGUGGGGAGCGAACAGGAUUAGAUACCCUGGUAGUCCACGCCGUAAACGAUGAGUGCUAGGUGUUAGGGGGUUUCCGCCCCUUAGUGCUGAAGUUAACGCAUUAAGCACUCCGCCUGGGGAGUACGGC